UACAGAGGGUGCGAGCGUUGUCCGGAAUCACUGGGCGUAAAGGGCGCGUAGGUGGUGGCUUAAGCGUGCGGUGAAAGCUCGGAGCUCAACUCCGAGUCGGCCGUGGCGACUCGUGGGCUGGAGCACUGUAGAGGCGGGUGGAAUUCCGGGUGUAGCGGUGGAAUGCGUAGAGAUCCGGAAGAACACCAGUGGCGAAGGCGGCCCGCUGGGCAGUGGCUGACGCUGAGGCGCGACAGCGUGGGGAGCAAACAGG
Molecule: ribosomal RNA, 253 nt
Filed under: uncultured bacterium
Lineage: Bacteria
Description: partial 16S ribosomal RNA
Rfam family: Bacterial small subunit ribosomal RNA
Source: RNAcentral